GCUGCUUUCAUUUUUUGUGAGACCAGGCUUCCAAAGUGUUUUCUUUCCUCCUCUUAGGAAUGUUUUUGUCUUCCCAUUCACAACCUCUUCGCUAGAAGGAUCUGCCACGGUGCUGUUCCUGUGAGCUCCUGUGUUGUGGGGGGAGCACGGAGCUGCAUUAACACGGGACAACCAGGCAAUCCCCUCCCCAUCCUCCUCCAGAGACCCACCGAGGAAAGAUGCCCAAGAGCACCCCGUGGGACCCACAGACCUCCCUCCUGUGCCCCCCCAGCCCACCUGGGAGCACGGAGCCAGCACAGGAGCUGCGCCCUGGCAGGACAGGCAGGGAGCACCGCUGAGAAGAAACACCACCAGACCCACCUCGCUUUCCACCCCCCAUCCCAAAGCACGGCCCCAUACCCCACCCAGGGCUGUGCCAGCACUGCAGGAAGGUGCAGGACCCCGCUGGGUGUCCCGGAGCGGUGCUGGCACGCAGGGGUUAGCCAGGACUGUCCCUCCCUGCACUGCUCUGCAUCCAGCCUGCCGGAAUCUGCUGACAGGAUUGGCACCGGGAAUUCGUGCACUGCACUGUGUUAGGAAAAUAAGGGCAUGAAAUAUAUUUAGUCUCUCAUUUUGGAGCUGUCUCUGACAUCUAAGUUAAAUAAAAUGUUCCUGAGGUCAUUAAAAAUCAGAAAUAGUACAAGAUUUGGGUUUACCAUAGUUUCAGAAUGAAUCAGGUUUCUGAACUUGUUUUAAUCUGUAUAAUUGCUUU
Non-coding RNA from Anas platyrhynchos (mallard), 751 nucleotides. NCBI's taxonomy places the organism in Eukaryota, Metazoa, Chordata, Aves, Anseriformes, Anatidae. The record is from RefSeq and is a predicted model, not a curated record.